This 65-nucleotide transfer RNA is filed under the name Amitermes capito. Its description in RNAcentral is "tRNA-Glu". It matches the Rfam family "tRNA". From Rfam's summary of the family: Transfer RNA (tRNA) molecules are approximately 80 nucleotides in length. Their secondary structure includes four short double-helical elements and three loops (D, anti-codon, and T loops). The record is from RNAcentral. RNAcentral also lists the same sequence under 2 other names. Lineage: Eukaryota; Metazoa; Arthropoda; Insecta; Blattodea; Termitidae.
AUUUAUAUAGUUUAGAAUAAAACAUUACAUUUUCACUGUAAAGAUAAAGAAAACUUUUAUAAAUA